GAUGAACGCUGACAGAAUGCUUAACACAUGCAAGUCAACUUGAAUUUGGGUUUUUAACUUAGGUUUGGGUGGCGGACGGGUGAGUAACGCGUAAAGAACUUGCCUCACAGCUAGGGACAACAUUUGGAAACGAAUGCUAAUACCUAAUAUUAUGAUAAUAGGGCAUCCUAUAAUUAUGAAAGCUAUAAGCGCUGUGAGAGAGCUUUGCGUCCCAUUAGCUAGUUGGGGAGGUAACGGCUCACCAAGGCGAUGAUGGGUAGCCGGCCUGAGAGGGUGAUCGGCCACAAGGGGACUGAGACACGGCCCUUACUCCUACGGGAGGCAACAGUGGGGAAUAUUGGACAAUGGACCGAGAGUCUGAUCCAGCAAUUCUGUGUGCACGAUGAAGUUUUUCGGAAUGUAAAAUGUUUUCAGUUGGGAAGAAACAAAUGACGGUACCAACAGAAGAAGUGACGGCUAAAUACGUG
This 467-nucleotide ribosomal RNA is filed under the name uncultured bacterium. Its description in RNAcentral is "partial 16S ribosomal RNA". It matches the Rfam family "Bacterial small subunit ribosomal RNA", at positions 28 to 507 of the family's 1533-position model. The record is from RNAcentral.